Molecule: long non-coding RNA, 5545 nt
Organism: Triticum aestivum (bread wheat)
Lineage: Eukaryota; Viridiplantae; Streptophyta; Magnoliopsida; Poales; Poaceae
Exons: 4
Source: RefSeq, a predicted model, not a curated record
UAACUAAACUAGCUUGGUGGUGUGGCUCUGCACUGUCUGUUUAUCAAUGUCUAUCUCACUGAGAUGUACCUACUCCGGGCUGGGGUGGCGGGCUAUAUAUAUACAUAUAUACACAUUAAACACAUUCAGCUGUGCAUCAAGGGCGAAACGCUCGCUCUGUCCACGUCACCCAAUCUUUACUGUAGGUAAAACCUAGCGAUGUUGGAGAUAAAAAGGCAAUUCUUCCUGACGAAGGCUCCUUCCUCCUUUUCCUCCCGCCGCCACUGCUCCAUCUCCUCCCCGUCUUCUCCUCGUCUCGUCUACUCCGCGGCUCCGUCGCCUUCGCCUCCCCUCCCACCUCAGCGCCGCUGCCUCCGUCUGCUCCGCCUCGCUCUCCUCCGUCCCUCAGCGCGCCACGCCGUCUCCACAGGGUUCAACCUCCACCGGAGCCGAUCUCUCCGCUGAGCACGCCCCGCGCCGCCGUUGCUGCCGAGGGCUCCUCGGUGCCGCUGCAGCCGGGGAGGCGGCCUGCGGGAGGGCCCUAAAUGUGGCCGAUGACUCAAUCCGCGGUCGCAUGUGGCGGCGGCCAGCCCAGCUCCGCCUCUUCCAGCCCAUCUUCCUGGGCAUCAUUGGUAGUGAAGAAGGACUCUUGCAGCUGCGAAAUAUUAGCAGAGGAAAAUCUAUAUGGUUUGAAGGGUUCAGAUUCAUAAUCUGAUAGUAUUAGGACCCUUGAUCCUUCAACCAUUAUGAGAUUUCAAGGCAGAUAGUGCAUCUUGUACUGUUUACCUUGAUUUAGUGAAUGCCUUCUGUAGCUUAAGGUUUAAUUAGCUGACUACUAAUGCUUUGGUAAUCUCCUUUCUGAAUUCCUUACUUGGUAAACAAUGUUCCUCACCCGGUCACCCCAAACUGGUGGAAUAUAAGAAGAAUCAGAACUGGGUCACAAUGUCUGGCGAUUAUCUUGUUUUCUGUUGAGGCGGAACUCAAUUCAAAUAUGGUGGUGCAAGAUACAUACAGUUUGUACAAUAGGUAGAUAUUACUAUGCCACCUUUAUCUACAUUUGAACAUAUUAACUUUGCAAGAAAAUUCCAAGUACUUUUAUUGCCAAGUAAGUUCUGUGUACUUGUGAAUCGAGAUGCUUCUUGUGUGUAUGUUUGCCAAUGUUCAGUAUUUCCUUCGGUAACAUUGAGACUUUAGGAGUGAAUAUACACGUUGUGCAAUCACAUCCAACAGUAAUAACACCAGUAGCAAAAUAAAACUAUUUUAUUUGUUUCAGCUGAGAUCCUAAACUAUAUUAAUAUGUUAUAUAGCCAGCUUCAUGUUAACAUCUUCCUGCUUUUUCUUGCGGUGAAGUCAAAUUUAUUAUCAAGUUCUGGAUACAAUCAGCCUUUUGUUAGUUUCACGUUGUUAGUAUGGCCCUGUUUUAACUAGCAGAAUUCAGAAAAACGUACUAAUUAAUGCACACAAGAAGAGGGGAUAAAAGAGGAUGCUGGUGAUGUGGAUUAUAACAUUUUCCCCUGCUCAUAUGGAAACAAUGUUGAGGAUACCACCCUCCCUGCCCAAAUUUUAUGUGCAGUUUUCUCACUUAUUCUCUAAAAAAUUUGCCACUUAAAUCUAAUUUAAUUUAAGCAAUUCAAUCUAUGCUUUUUCCUAGGUGCUACGUGACUUCACUGGUCGCAUUAUUGACUGAGAUUUCGAGUACGAAAACUUCACAAAAAAAUGGUUGGCUUGCUAUCGUCUUGACGAUCUUGAAUUUCAGUUUGUUCUUUGGAUUUACGGUUUCAAAUUUUAUCCCACUUGAUUUCCAGUUUGAACUUUGGUCGAAGAACUUGGUUAUUCUUGUUCUGAUUGUUGACACAUGUACUUAAUUGACUACAAGCAUAUCAUUCAUAUGACCGAUACAAUACAUUGCCUUGCUUCAGUCUGUUGGAAGAGGGAUAGGUGUGCCUUAAUGCAGACUGUAUAUGCAUCCUUGGUGGAACAAUGUAUGCAUGUAGUGAUGCAACUACGUGCACAAAUCUGGGAGAACAUGCAUUAUUUCUCCCCUUUCUAGCAAUUUACCACCACAUAGAGGUUGUUCCAGACAUGUGUUUUUCCUAGAUCCAUGUGAUGUUCCUUUCUUUUUCUCCCUGACUUGUUUAUGGGCUUCUAGAGAAAUUUUUUCAAGGAAUUAUUUUCAAAGGAUCUAUUCUAAAGAAAUAUUUUUUGUACUGCUGGAUAGGCACAAAAAAUCCUGUGCCACAAAGGUAGUGUCCAUGGCAUGUUGAUGGCUAGCUAUACUGCGUGUAAACAACAGGAAUUCAAUCAAUUUUUUCUCUUUUCUAGAAAGUUAAGAACAAUAUCCAGUGUGAUUCUCUUCUUAUGUACCAGCUUCGCUGUGGAGCUCCAAGGCUGCUACUAUAACUUCUUGCGCCAUUAUUUGGCAACCUACUGUUGCGGUCUCUAGAGGUGACACCAUUAGUAUGGGUCAGUUGCAUUGGUGACGCUGAGCACAAAGCUGUGAAUCCACUGCCUUUUGCUCUAUAUUGUGUAUGUCUCUCCAACCGUAAGCUCUCCUUAUUAUUUUAGUAGUUGGAUAUAAUGUCAAAUCAUUUACAAUCAUUGUGUGUAACUACAAUCUGAUGCAGAGAGUUCUGGUUUCUCAUAAUUCAUCCAGUAUAUGUUUGUUUUCAAAGCAAAGAAAUUGGAAAGUCAUACAAGAGAAGCAUAAAUGACAUGUCUUGAAAAUUGUAUGAGGUUCAAUCUUGAUAUAGUUUUGGACUGAAUAUUUCUCACUUCGAGGAAUGUGUUUUUGCUGAAUGUUUUUUUCCAGUGCCCCAACGAUUUUAUUCCCUGGUACCGCAUGGACUGAGAUCAGGUUUUUAUUCCAAAAAUAUAUUUAAUUUACUAUGAGGUCAUUUGACAGAGAGAAAUGUUCUCUGUAUAGUGGAUACAAGCACUCAUGAUAGACCCUUUAUGUAUCGCCACUGACAUAUAUCUUUUCUCCAAAGAAGAAUAUAUUUGUGGACUAAUUCAUGUUAUCAGGUUGAUGUAUCAGUUUUAUGUAUCACCGGUGACACAAUGUUACUGAUAAUACUUGUCUUGAGAGUUAUAUCAGAUUGCAGCCAUCCUUUGAAAUUGACAUGGCAUUUUUUACACCCAGGGUUAAUUCAUGUUAUCUUUCUAUUUGCUUCUAAUCCUAAAUAUUUCUCAUCCAUACACGAUUAUGUAUCUAUAGGUUUGGUUGUGGCGUCAACUGGCUAUCUCGACAACAUUGAUGCUGAAGUUAGCGACCCUCCAAAGAAUGGGAUGUUAGAUGUCAUAGAACUUGUCUGUCAUGUUAUCAAGCAUUCACAGAAUCCAAAUGUCAUAGUUUCUAGAAAUGGGCAUGAGCUAUUGGAAUCUCCCAUGUGUUUAGAUCCCAUGUAUCCUCCAAUUCAUCAGGUUUUUGGCUUUCUAUGUGUAUGCCGAUAUAUGAGAAUACCCAGUUGCAAAAGAACAUGACAUUGCCAACCAAGUUAACCACCCGAUGCAUCAGGCCUACCUCCGACUAGCACCUUGCAAACAUUUUGAACUUACAGAUUGCACGCUCUCCUUUUUCAUUUUCAAUGUUGUCUAGACUAUUCCUUGUCAAUUGAUUCUACAGGGAGGGCUGAUAUCUCAUUAUUUAGAAUUUACACUACAAAUCCUUAAGCUCAGAAAGAAAGUUAUGAAUGUGUCUAGAGGCUCUUUUACUAUUGUCACAUUUGUGCAUACCGUUCUCCAAUGGCCAUGCCAUUUGUUCUGAAUGCAAGCCAAGGGUUCAUAAUUGUCGUCCAACUAGCAGGAGUGAAUUGGGUAACAUAAUAUGCCUUGCUUUGGAGAAGGUUGGCGCCUCUCUAGAGGUUUUGUUCAAGUUCCAGAACUUUGGAUGCUUGGGAAUAUAUCCUUAUUAUUGCAAGUUGAAACAUGAAUCAGAGUGCCAAUACAUACCAUAUACUGGCCCAAAUGCAGGUUCUGAAUGCACUAUCGAUGGUGACAUCCCAUAUCAAAUUUCAGAGUGUUCUUUGAACUAAUUCUGUUUGAUCUUUCUAUAGGUUUUAGAUUUUUGUGGAUUUAUGUGAUUGAAUCUUGAUAUGUCGGGAAUGCGUCGAGAAAAUGCAACAUGACUUGAUGUUUGAAGUUACAACCUUACAGGGGCAUCGACUCAAAUUUGCAACGACGAAUUUUAUACCAUGCUUGUGUAGCUCGGUCUGGUAAUUUUCUUUCUCGAACAUAUAAACAGAUUUAGUCCUGUAUCUUGCUUUGACACUAAGUAAUUCUUUAUAAAAAAUCUUAAAACUUGAAAUUUGUGUGUUUAUUAGUGUACUAUUGGCCUGCGUAUCUAAAUAAAAUAGCAGUGCAUAUGACCAUAAUUAUGCAGAUUCUUGAGACUUAAAAACUCAACCAUGAUUCCAUGUUUAGGGAUGCAAUGAUUCAGUUUGGACAUCCAAUAUCAGCUGGGUUGAGGUUCUGGAUGUUUUUAGAUAGGUAGCUGUACCAAAUGCAAAAUUCUCACCUCAGUGAACUACUGUUCAGUAUGUGACUGACUGAACUGAAUAAGAUCACCUAUAUAUAUCUCUGAACUAAAAUACACUUAAUUUCUAUUCUUGCUUGACGCCCCGCCUCAACCCAUUUCCUUCCCUUGGCCACCGCUCCACCCACCCGCUCUGCCCCAUUUCUAUGCGAAACCAUAGAGAUGGUGGCCGCUGAUUGAUGUGGCCCUGGCGGUAGCGACAACGGCUUCAAGCAGGAAUACUAGGAGAAAGGAAGACGGGCAUAGAUCCAUGCGGAGCAUGAGGCGGGGAGCUAGAAUAGAUCGACACCAGGGCGUGAGGACCACCUCGUCAUUCUCAAACAAUGCCAGUACACCAUGUCAGUAUAGUAUCAUGUUCAUGUCAGAAUCUAAGAGAUUUAGGAACAUAGGAAGUAGAUGGUAAUUAUGGACGUUGGAGAGGAGUAAAUUUGAUCACAUAUACUAUAUAGGGACUUCGUAGAUGCGUUCUAGCAGCAGAAGCACAAAACCCUGUAUGGAGAAAAUUCACUUUUAUUGAAGUACUGACAUGAAUAUGACAGUACAGUGUUGAUCAGUAGUGGUGGGCGAGGCGUGGGAGGUGACGAUGACGAAUGAUACGGUGGUCAGUAGAUAAAAGGUAAGUGCCGCCGCCGUUUGGUCCCUCUCCUCUCCUUGCUUCUGCCUCUUCCUAUAUUCAUGUUUUGUGUUCUUGCCUUGUUGGAAGCCGUUCAUUUCCACUGCCCAGCGGGGGCAUCUUCGAGGACUAAUCUGGCAUCAGGCGUUAUAGUAGGAGACACGGCUCUCAUGGAUUAGGAUGUUGCACAUCAUUGACGGGUCAUUCCAUGGAUUAGGAUGUUGCACAUCAUUGACAGGUCGUUCCGCGCGCUGCUCUUGUUGAUUUGUUCUUGACAUAUCCUCUGUGGUGUUGUACUUUUUGAAUCAGUUGGUGGUUUAUAUUAGCAAGUCCUAUCAUUUUGUCACUUUUGAACCAUCGACUAUUGCUUUUGUGUUCAUACAAGCCUCUUAGUAUAUAUGAUGUCACUAUUAUUCUUUUAA